RNAcentral lists this ribosomal RNA (627 nucleotides) under Pseudomonas sp. Its description in RNAcentral is "bacterial SSU rRNA". It matches the Rfam family "Bacterial small subunit ribosomal RNA", at positions 55 to 677 of the family's 1533-position model. Lineage: Bacteria; Pseudomonadati; Pseudomonadota; Gammaproteobacteria; Pseudomonadales; Pseudomonadaceae. The record is from RNAcentral.
AUGCAAGUCGAGCGGUAGAGAGAAGCUUGCUUCUCUUGAGAGCGGCGGACGGGUGAGUAAUGCCUAGGAAUCUGCCUGGUAGUGGGGGAUAACGUUCGGAAACGGACGCUAAUACCGCAUACGUCCUACGGGAGAAAGCAGGGGACCUUCGGGCCUUGCGCUAUCAGAUGAGCCUAGGUCGGAUUAGCUAGUUGGUGAGGUAAUGGCUCACCAAGGCGACGAUCCGUAACUGGUCUGAGAGGAUGAUCAGUCACACUGGAACUGAGACACGGUCCAGACUCCUACGGGAGGCAGCAGUGGGGAAUAUUGGACAAUGGGCGAAAGCCUGAUCCAGCCAUGCCGCGUGUGUGAAGAAGGUCUUCGGAUUGUAAAGCACUUUAAGUUGGGAGGAAGGGCAGUUACCUAAUACGUGAUUGUUUUGACGUUACCGACAGAAUAAGCACCGGCUAACUCUGUGCCAGCAGCCGCGGUAAUACAGAGGGUGCAAGCGUUAAUCGGAAUUACUGGGCGUAAAGCGCGCGUAGGUGGUUAGUUAAGUUGGAUGUGAAAUCCCCGGGCUCAACCUGGGAACUGCAUUCAAAACUGACUGACUAGAGUAUGGUAGAGGGUGGUGGAAUUUCCUGUGUA